Molecule: ribosomal RNA, 360 nt
Filed under: Listeria monocytogenes
Lineage: Bacteria; Bacillati; Bacillota; Bacilli; Caryophanales; Listeriaceae
Description: partial 23S ribosomal RNA
Rfam family: Bacterial large subunit ribosomal RNA
Source: RNAcentral
AUGUACCGGGGCUAAACAUAUUACCGAAACUGUGGAUGAACCUCUUUAGAGGUUCGUGGUAGGAGAGCGUUCUAAGGGCGGUGAAGUCAGACCGGAAGGACUGGUGGAGCGCUUAGAAGUGAGAAUGCCGGUAUGAGUAGCGAAAGAAGGGUGAGAAUCCCUUCCACCGAAUAUCUAAGGUUUCCUGAGGAAGGCUCGUCCGCUCAGGGUUAGUCGGGACCUAAGCCGAGGCCGAUAGGCGUAGGCGAUGGACAACAGGUAGAGAUUCCUGUACCAGUGCUAAUUGUUUAACCGAUGGGGUGACACAGAAGGAUAGGGAAUCGCACGAAUGGAAAUGUGCGUCCAAGCAGUGAGUGUGAG